GAUAGAGGCCUACCAUGGUGGUAACGGGUAACGGGGUGUUAGGGCACGACACCGGAGAGGGAGCCUGAGAAACGGCUACCACAUCCAAGGAUGGCAGCAGGCGCGCAAAUUACCCAAUCCCGACACGGGGAGGUAGUGACAAUAAAUAACAAUACGGGGUUCUUUAGGAUCUCGUAAUUGGAAUGAGUACAAUUUAAAUCUCUUAACGAGGAACAAUUGGAGGGCAAGUCUGGUGCCAGCAGCCGCGGUAAUUCCAGCUCCAAUAGCGUAUAUUAAAGUUGUUGCAGUUAAAAAGCUCGUAGUUGAAUUUCGGGGUUAGUAGGUUGGUCAUGCCUCUGGUAUGUACUGGUCUCACUGAUUCCUCCUUCCUGAUGAGCCGUAAUGCCAUUAAUUUGGUGUUGCGGGGAAUUUGGACUGUUACUUUGAAAAAAUUAGAGUGUUUAAAGCAAGCUAACGCUUGAAUACAUUAGCAUGGAAUAAUGAAAUAGGACGUUCGAUCCUAUUUUGUUGGUUUCUAGGAUUGACGUAAUGAUUAAUAGGGAUAGUUGGGGGCAUUAGUAUUCAAUUGUCAGAGGUGAAAUUCUUGGAUUUAUUGAAGCCUAACUACUGCGAAAGCAUUUGCCAAGGAUGUUUUCAUUAAUCAAGAACGAAAGUUAGGGGAUCGAAGACGAUCAGAUACCGUCGUAGUCUUAACCAUAAACUAUGCCGACUAGGGAUCGGAUGAUGUUAAUUUUUUAAUGACUCAUUCGGCGCCUUACGGGAAACCAAA
This 769-nucleotide ribosomal RNA is filed under the name uncultured Glomeromycotina. RNAcentral's name for it is "SSU rRNA". It matches the Rfam family "Eukaryotic small subunit ribosomal RNA", at positions 332 to 1102 of the family's 1831-position model. The record is from RNAcentral. Lineage: Eukaryota; Fungi; Glomeromycota.